Long non-coding RNA from Biomphalaria glabrata, 2097 nucleotides. RefSeq lists it as uncharacterized. The record is from RefSeq and is a predicted model, not a curated record. The transcript is spliced from 9 exons. NCBI's taxonomy places the organism in Eukaryota, Metazoa, Mollusca, Gastropoda, Planorbidae.
AAAAAAACAACAACUAGAUCUCUAAUAGUCUCUAAACUCUAAAUCUAUAAUAUUAUAAUUUUAAUCUAGACCUAGAUCUGGUCCUGUGAAUUGAUCUUUGAAAAUUUAGAAAUGUUGAAAAUGUAUGAUUAUAGAUCUACUAAUUUAUUAAUUAUGUAAUAGAUCUACAUUAUAAAUAAUAACAUAUAGAUUAUAAAUUUAGCUAGUAAUAUAGUCUCUAGAUCUACCUGGAUCUAGAUUACUUUGAGAUAUAGAAUUAUAGGCCUAUGCUAUGUAAUUCUUUAUUGUAGUUAAGACCUUCUUCACUAGAUCUAGCUAUAUAUAGAUCUAUACUUAUAGUCCUAGUCUAGACUGUCUAGAGCAGUGUUUCCCAAACCUUUUCCUUCAAAACGGAACACUUCGCACACUAUGAGUAUUUAGCGGAAAACUUUUCUUAUUUUUUAAAAAAGAUUUAUUCACAUGGUAGCCUACUAAUUAAUUAUUCCAGUAGUUCAUGGAACACUUAUUCAGGCGUAAGGUUCUACGGAACACAUUUUGAGAAACACUUGUCUAGAGUGAUUCUAGAGAUUAUUUCUGGAAUAAGGCUAGGUCUAGAAUUCAAUAUAGCAUUUACUUAUCACCUAGAAUAGAGUGACAAGAUUUAUAAUGUAAUUAACACAAUUUAAGUCAUGAACAUUGUAGGAUCCAAUAUAAUUCUAAACUGAUAAAUCUAGAUGUCUACUACAUUUUAUCUACAUUAUAGAUUUAGUUUAAAUUAGAAAUCACUUUGGAAACAAGACUCAACUACCCAGGUUCUUCGGCAUUGAUGCAAUCAACUGAAAUUUUAUGGAAAAGAUCAGGGCAGAAGUUUACACAGAGAUAAACAACCUUGUCUGAUGGAAACACCAGGUUGUUUUUGAGAGUUUUAUUAACAGAUCUGAGCCCAGGUAUUGUCGUAAAACAGAACAAUUCGUCGGCCUUACAGGUUUUGAACUACUUGGUUCUCUCCGCAGCCAUGUUUUAUUCUGAAAUUCCUUAAAUAAGCCAACAUGUGAGAUAAAUGGUUGAAGCAAUGAAAAGAGGGAAAGGAUGGACCCCUGAUGGGUAUGACUUUGUGGACAGCACACAUUUUAUUGAUGCAAACUUUGAUGAUAUAAUGAAAAAUCUGAAACCCUCAGCUAUUCCUACAAUAUUUCAGUGUCAUAACGAUGCAGCUUCCUGGCCAGUUAAAAAGAAGGAAAAAUAAAGUCUUAAGGUGAAAGAAGAAAUUGUACAAUUCAAAGAGACUUCUGAUAUAUUAUAAAAAGAAAGUUCAAUGUUUAUGAGAGGAGUUAUAGAAAAGCCAACCUCACCUAAAACAGUUAUGAUGAUUUAUCUUUACAUCUGUUUGAGGAGCCUACAGGAAAUGCAAAUUAUACAGAUGAAAAAAUAUCCUUCACAAUAACAUUGCACUUUUACAGUCCUAAUGCGUAUGAGUUUCUUUCUACCACGUUUAACCUGCCUUCAACCAGAACACUAAAAAGAUUCAUGAUUGCCUUUAUAUGUGGACAAAUAAGCCUAUACAGUAUUUCCAAGAAUGAGAACUUUGCAGGGUAGAGUCAUUUGACUUACAAGCCUCUUAGAGACCACUGGGACAUUGUUCUGGGCCGCCUUUGGUAUGGGGAACUCUCAGGCACCAGCUAUUAAAGAAGAAACAAUUAGCAGUCAGGUUAAUGGUGACUCAGAGAUAAGAGACAGUGUGCUGCUGAAAGUCAUUGAGGUGGUUGGCUACGUUUUGUAUGGAGUUUACAUUCUUGAUGCUGUCGUGGUCCUGAUCAACUUGUUCAUUGCUGUGAUGAAUUUGAAGACAUUUAGAAUGUCCAAAAGAUUAGUCAGCUAAGGAGCCUAAAAUGUUAGCCUGUUUACAAAUAUGAGAUCUUCCUUGACUACACAAGUACCUUACAGAAGAAGGCUACUCACUUGUGUUUGGAUAUGUCAGCUGUUUUGUCCCUGUGGCCCUUUUCAAGCAUGACAGAUACUAUUCUAAGCAGCUUUUUUCUCUGGAAAUUAUUCAACCACAGAGGCUGUGAGGGAUAUCUGAAAUCCAUUGCUUACUUGUCUAGAAAUCCUUCCAUCGAU